RNAcentral lists this transfer-messenger RNA (356 nucleotides) under Caryophanaceae. RNAcentral describes it as "Ureibacillus sp017577605 Standard tmRNA". It matches the Rfam family "transfer-messenger RNA". From Rfam's summary of the family: Bacterial tmRNA, also known as 10Sa RNA or SsrA, is named for its dual tRNA and mRNA-like properties. Its role is to liberate the mRNA from a stalled ribosome. RNAcentral also lists the same sequence under 2 other names. The record is from RNAcentral. Lineage: Bacteria; Bacillati; Bacillota; Bacilli; Caryophanales.
GGGGACGUUACGGAUUCGACAGGAAUGGUUCAAGCUUGAGCUGCGCGUCGGAGGGCUCGUCUCCGUGAUCAACGGCAGUUAAAAAUAACUGGCAACAAACAAUCUUACGCUUUAGCUGCUUAAUUUGCUAAGGCACUCUAAUCAGCCAUCGCCCAUGUGGCUGCAUUAGGGUUCAUCUUGAGUGGGCUACGGCGAGUGCCUUGCUUGGGGCACUGGCAAGAGACUCAACAAGCUAGCGUGCAGGACGCCUGUUUGUCGGCAGAAUGCAACGCGAAAUCCCAAUAGACAAACUACACGCGUAGAUGCUUAAGUGUUGGAGUUUCUGGACGCGGGUUCGACUCCCGCCGUCUCCAUAC